This 294-nucleotide long non-coding RNA is filed under the name Elaeis guineensis (African oil palm). RNAcentral describes it as "long non-coding RNA (EGUI_LNC082210)". Lineage: Eukaryota; Viridiplantae; Streptophyta; Magnoliopsida; Arecales; Arecaceae. The record is from RNAcentral.
GAGCAAGUUGACAUCAAAAAUAAUAUAGCAGAUCUGUUCACUAAAACCUUAUCAAUGUAGUAGUUUGACCGCCAUCUUGAUAGCAUGGGUAACAAGUAUAUAGACGAUUGGCUUCAAGUGUAAGUGGAAGAUUGAAAGAAUAAUGCCCUACAAGCCAAUGCAUAUGGGAUGCAAUAGGGUAUUUUUAUAAUUUUCUUUCAAAUUCAUAUAAAUUGAUAUUUAUUAUUAAUAAAAUAGAUAUUUUUGAUUCAUUAUAUGCUGUAUCUUAUUAAUUUUAAGAUUAUAAUGAACUCU